UUAUAGAUCCAAUCAUAGCUCAAGUGCGAUGCUGUUUGAAUUUUUUCGAAGUGUGAUUAUUUUUUGUUGUUUGUUUUGAGAUAAUUCGUAGGGUUUGAAAGUUAAAUUCAAUUAGUUCUUCAGCUUGUUUUGGUAUAACUUGAUGCUGAUAAAAUUAGUUUUUUGAGUUCUAUUAGUUGUUUCGAUAUAAAUAAGUGAAUUUCAUUAAGUUCUAAAUAUAGUGGUAAACUUUUUCCGAUAAAAUCCAACAUAUUAAAAAAAUAAAUCCCUCAUUAGUGUUUCAAAAUAAUCUUAAUCCAUUGUAAAAAAAAGUAACUCUAACUCAUUCUAAAAAAAGCAGAGUUUCGAUUUUAAUAUUUAAUAAAUUUUUUUAAAAAAGUUGAGUAUGAUGGGACUUGAGUUGGAUACACUAGAGGGAGAGUCUAAGUAACUUCUUCCCUAAAUGAAAUAAACGAAGCGGGUAGUAUGCUACCUAUCUUUCUCAAAAAAAAAAAAAUGUAACUUCUCUCCUUUAUGGAUUAAUUUAUGUUUUAAUAUUUAAUAAUUUUUUUAGAGAAAGUUGAGUAUAGUGGAGCUUGAGUUUGAUACACUAGAGGGACAGGUUUGGAAAUUAGGGAGAGUCCAAACUUGAGCCUCCAAACUGUUUGGAUUCUUCCUUUUUCACCCAUAUCCGACCUAGACCCUACCCGGAUCCUAUCCGGAUCCGAACCAUACCUAAUAAAAAAUUAAUAGUAUACGGGUAAAAAAAAUUACCUAUUAAAUUUUCGGGUAUGGGUCCGGAUACUUUAUACCCAUACCUGGCUUGGACCCAAUCCGAACCUGACCUUUUAAUGGGUAGGGUCCAAAAGAGUUUUCAAAUUCGGAUCGAGACCCGGACCCAAACCCGGUGAAAUACUCGAUAGUAAAUAAAAAAAUUUAAAGUUAAGGGAUCAAUUUCAAUAAGACUUAUAGAUGAAGGGUCUCUGUCUAUUUACUUCCUAGUGAAAAGCCUAGCACUCUGUUUACUUUUGUUUUUAUUUUUAUUUACUCUUUAUUUUUUUUAACCCUAACUGUUUACUGCUUGAAUCUUUCUUUUGAACGACUUUUAUUUGUCGGUGCAAUUAAUUAGAAUGUGAGUUUUGUAUAGUGAAAGAUUUAUGAUUUAUCCAUAAAAACUGUUUAAUAAUAAAGUUUAUAAAAUAUAUAUGCAUACGGGUAUCCGUACCCGAUCUAGACCCGACCCAUAUUCGAUCCAUUCCCGAUCUUAAGCCGGUAGUAUAUGGAUAGUCACUACCUAGACCCGUUCAAAUAGAUUCGAUGGGUAUAUUAUUAUCUUAAGUGCCUAGAAUCGGACCCGAUCUGAAGUUAAAUGGUUAGAGUAUACAUAUUUUU
Molecule: long non-coding RNA, 1371 nt
Filed under: Ananas comosus (pineapple)
Lineage: Eukaryota; Viridiplantae; Streptophyta; Magnoliopsida; Poales; Bromeliaceae
Description: long non-coding RNA (ACOM_LNC025712)
Source: RNAcentral